UAAUGUUUCACUGGCAGAAGUUAGUGGUGGCUAGAGCAAGACAGAAUGAAAUAGAGGACCUGGGAAGGACAGGAUUCCACAAACUAAAAACUCAGAACUGA
RNAcentral lists this long non-coding RNA (101 nucleotides) under Anser brachyrhynchus (Pink-footed goose). Its description in RNAcentral is "lncRNA (ENSABRG00000021042.1)". The record is from RNAcentral. Lineage: Eukaryota; Metazoa; Chordata; Aves; Anseriformes; Anatidae.